This 501-nucleotide ribosomal RNA is filed under the name Triticum aestivum (bread wheat). RNAcentral describes it as "partial small subunit ribosomal RNA". The record is from RNAcentral. Lineage: Eukaryota; Viridiplantae; Streptophyta; Magnoliopsida; Poales; Poaceae.
AUGGAUGAGGAACUGGACGAUGUCGUGAUCGGGGCAGAGGAGGCGAAGUCUUUCAAUGAGAAGGCGGGGUGGAUGGCAAUUGCGAGGGUGAAUACCAAUCGGAACUUUAGUCCGACAGCUUUUUCAGAUAAUAUGAACUUCAUCUGGGGCUUGGUUUGGACUCCGGAAUUCAGAGAGGCUGGGGAAAACUUAUUCAUCUUCAAGUUCUUCUGCCUAGGGGAUUGGAAGAAGGUAGUUCAUAGAGGGCCGUGGCUGUUCAGAGGAUUGGCGGUGGUGGUCGAGGAGUAUGAUGGGAAGGCGGAUCCAGAAUCGGUGGUGCUAGAUGGAUUGUAUGUUUGGGCACAAAUCCAUAAAAUUCCAGAAGUUUACCGCCAUGAACCGGUGGUGGAUCAGCUUGCCCGAAGAAUAGGGAAAGUCAAGGAGGUUCAGAUGAGACCAACGCUCUUCUACGAGGGGGACUAUGUGAGGGUUAGAGCUAGGGUUCUUACGAAAAACCCUUGA